This 73-nucleotide transfer RNA is filed under the name Acidobacteriota bacterium. RNAcentral's name for it is "tRNA-Met". It matches the Rfam family "tRNA". Rfam says of the family: Transfer RNA (tRNA) molecules are approximately 80 nucleotides in length. Their secondary structure includes four short double-helical elements and three loops (D, anti-codon, and T loops). The record is from RNAcentral. Lineage: Bacteria; Pseudomonadati; Acidobacteriota.
GGCUUUGUAGCUCAGUUGGCAGAGCGCACGUCUCAUAAGCGUGUUGUCGCGUGUUCGAUUCACGCCAAAGCCA